UCCACUUAACAAUCGUGACAACAUUGUGAAAGCUGAUCAUAUAUUCCAAGUACAUAAAAAAUACCCCCCAUAUCAAUUACUCUUUCAAUUAGCAUUUAGACUGUUCAACUUAUCUCAAAUACAUCAAGCAAAACAUCAAUCAAGAUCAUCUAACCACAGUACAUGAUUUAAAUUCAAUGUGACUGCUCUCAUCAUGACCACCCACUAAAUGGAAUAUCAUAACAGACUAUAGGGAUCCAAGUGUAAAAUCAAAUUCCAUGAUGAAGAUGAGCACAUAAAGCGCACAUGGAGGAAUAAUUCCAUCUCAAACUUAUCUUUCUUCUUCAUCAAAAGGUCAGAAUCACAUCCCAAAUGAUGAUUUGCGAUUAGCAAAAGCCGCUUGAAUUGAAACUAGUCCUUCAAAAAGCCCAGACACCUUG
RNAcentral lists this unclassified non-coding RNA (419 nucleotides) under Hevea brasiliensis (rubber tree). Lineage: Eukaryota; Viridiplantae; Streptophyta; Magnoliopsida; Malpighiales; Euphorbiaceae. The record is from RNAcentral.